AUAUGAAUAUAUUGGUGCAGGGAUGAAAAGAAAAGAAAAGAAAGUAUUUUGUGGGGUACUAUGUAGUAGCAGAGGCGCAGCGGUUUAACCACCAUGUUUCUUUCUUUCUACAUCAAAAAGGGUAAGUUGAGUUCUCAUCCAUUCCAAGUAGCUGCUUUAUCUGACCAACUUGUGAUGAUUUCCCUCCCUUGAUUCUAUCAUCACACUGAUGUUUAAGGGAUAGAUUUUGAUGAAAUUGUUUGUUUGUGUUUGUAAAGUAAUGCUAUUGAGAUUCUAUGGUCGACUUUUACUAUUAGGAAGACUAUGAACUCCUCUGGCUCUACCUUGACAUAGAUGCAGCAACCAACAACUAGCUGAGAAAAAUAAUAUUAUGAUAUAUGGUAACUGUCAUUGGAUCAUGAGAACCCUCCAACCGAUGGCUCUGAUAUUCUGUUGCACUUUGACUAUGUGAUUAGAAAACCUUACAAGUUUCGUAUCAGAGGGUUUUCUGAGAGCGAUACAUUGAUGACCUCAGAUACCAUUAAUUUUCUUUUGAAGACAUUUAGUGUUGAAAAGGACAAUGAACACAUCACCAUUGGGAAGUGGUUGGCCUAAUAAGGCAUUACUCACAAACGUACAUAAUGUACUACUCAGGAUUUUACUGCUUGUAACAACACUUUGGCUGUUUAAUCUUAUUCUAUGCUAAGGAGUAAUAACAUCAUAGGACUCUAUAAACUUUAUUAAAAGACAGUGAAACUGCCGAAGAAGUUGUUCCUGUUGCCUACGCAAUUCCAUCACUGUCACUGUCACUGUAUCAGUUACAAAUUAAGAUCAUGCAGAAUAAAAUCAUUCACUGUAACUUUUAUGCUCCAAAAAAA
Long non-coding RNA from Vigna unguiculata (cowpea), 857 nucleotides. RefSeq lists it as uncharacterized. The record is from RefSeq and is a predicted model, not a curated record. NCBI's taxonomy places the organism in Eukaryota, Viridiplantae, Streptophyta, Magnoliopsida, Fabales, Fabaceae.